AAAUUUACUAAACAGUAAGAGAAACAAAAGCAAAUCAAAGAAAAAAAUCAAGAGGAGGGAAAAGUGAAUCAAGUUGAAUUUGAAUUCUGUUCGAAUUUUCGGUGAUAACGUUUUGCUUUCGUAUUCAAUUAAAUUGGAAUACAGAUUCUAUUUUUGAUCCUAUUCUAUUGUUAUAAAUUUCUUAUGGGAAAAGCAUGAAUGAAAAUAUGUGCAUAAUCUCAACGCAUUAUUUAGUAUGUAUGUUGAUUAUGUAAAUUUUGUUAUCACAUAUUAUUGAUUUACUGAGUACUUAUAUUUGUUCCGUAGACAUGUUGAAUUAGUAUCUUGUCUGUUCAUUUUUCGUCAAAUUUUAAAAGGAAGUUCACGUAAAUAGAUAAUACUGUACGAUCUCAUACACAUGUUCUUCAAUUUUUCUUUAAUCACAUAGAAACAAACAUACACUACACACGGCGGUAAGCGCGCACACACAAUUGAACAACAAACACAGAGUAAAAAAUAGGAGAAAAAUUGCUAGAGAGGAGAGAAAAGACAGAGAACAAAAAUAAAAAAUUGGUAUUUUCUGAUUUUUUCGGCAAGAAACUAGCCGAAAACCGCAUCUCCCAUAAAAAUGGAGACCAAACCCACCGGAUUCGCCACCAUGGACGGCGCCAGUCGCGCCUCCACCAGCCACCACCGCCGCUGGUUCCAUCCCCGUCUUUCCUCUUUCUCACGUCCAACGAACCACCGAAAACCGCUAUCCCACCGACGAACCAGUCAGACGCUGCCCCUCUGCGUCGGAAUCAACAACCAGCAAUCGAAGAUCCCCUCCCCGUCACCCAAAAAAAUGACGUCGGAAAACCCCAAAAUAUGGCGACCAAUGCUGUCCCUCCUUAUCACCAGCCGUCGACGGAUCCCGUCGAAAUCGACGACCAACCCAACUCCAUUCCCGUUCUGACCCAAAUCAGCUACUAAAUUAUUCAAAUCGGUAGUGAUAGUAAAGGCAGUGAUGUUGAGAGAAAAGACAGCGAUAAAAAUAAGGAGGUAGAAAUCGGUAGUGAUAUAUGUGGAUGUAUUUUUGGUGUAUUGGGAACAAAGGAGACAAAAAGACAUGAAUAGAAAAUUAAAUUAAAAAAGGUCACCAAUAGGAAUAUCAUUAGUGUUUUGAUUAUUUUUGUGGGUUUUGUAGUGUUUUAUUUAAUAUGUUGUUUAUCUUUGAUUAUCGUUAUUCGAAUGAAUUUUGAUUUUA
RNAcentral lists this long non-coding RNA (1225 nucleotides) under Capsicum annuum. RNAcentral describes it as "long non-coding RNA (CANN_LNC001335)". Lineage: Eukaryota; Viridiplantae; Streptophyta; Magnoliopsida; Solanales; Solanaceae. The record is from RNAcentral.